RNAcentral lists this ribosomal RNA (322 nucleotides) under uncultured Chloroflexota bacterium. RNAcentral describes it as "bacterial SSU rRNA". It matches the Rfam family "Bacterial small subunit ribosomal RNA", at positions 28 to 351 of the family's 1533-position model. The record is from RNAcentral. Lineage: Bacteria; Bacillati; Chloroflexota.
GAUGAACGCUGGCGGCGUGCUUAAUACAUGCAAGUCGAACGGAGACAGUAGCAAUAUUGUCUUAGUGGCGAACGGGUGAGUAACGCGUUGGUGACCUGCCCCGAAGAGGGGGAUAACAGUCCGAAAGGAUUGCUAAUACCCCAUGUGGUCAUUUGGAUUAGAUGCCUUAUGACUAAACGGAUUUAUUCGCUUCGGGAGGGCCUGCGUCCCAUCAGCUAGUUGGUAAGGUAACGGCCUACCAAGGCGACGACGGGUAGCUGGUCUGAGAGGAUGAUCAGCCACACUGGCACUGGAACACGGGCCAGACUCCUACGGGAGGCUG